AACGAACGCUGGCGGCAUGCCUAACACAUGCAAGUCGAACGAGACCUUCGGGUCUAGUGGCGCACGGGUGCGUAACGCGUGGGAACCUGCCCUUAGGUUCGGAAUAACUCCCCGAAAGGGGUGCUAAUACCGGAUAAUGUCUUCGGACCAAAGAUCUAUCGCCUUUGGAUGGGCCCGCGUUGGAUUAGCUUGUUGGUAGGGUAAAAGCCUACCAAGGCGACGAUCCAUAGCUGGUUUGAGAGGCUGAUCAGCCACACUGGGACUGAGACGCGGCCCAGACUCCUACGGGAGGCAGCAGUGGGGAAUAUUGGACAAUGGGCGGAAGCCUGAUCCAGCAAUGCCGCGUGAGUGAUGAAGGCCUUAGGGUUGUAAAGCUCUUUUACCCGGGAUGAUAAUGACAGUACCGGGAGAAUAAGCUCCGGCUAACUCCGUG
This 433-nucleotide ribosomal RNA is filed under the name uncultured bacterium. Its description in RNAcentral is "partial 16S ribosomal RNA". It matches the Rfam family "Bacterial small subunit ribosomal RNA", at positions 29 to 507 of the family's 1533-position model. The record is from RNAcentral.